This is a non-coding RNA of Camellia sinensis, 1989 nucleotides long. Lineage: Eukaryota; Viridiplantae; Streptophyta; Magnoliopsida; Ericales; Theaceae. The record is from RefSeq and is a predicted model, not a curated record.
GAGUGAAUCCCAUCCCACCCCAGAAUAGAACACUGUAGCAACUCUGCUUAAUGUACUUGAUCUUCAGUGGUUUUGAUAAACCUGCUGAAAUUGCUGUUACAACAUUAAAACUUCAACAGAAGAAAAUUUCAUGUUUUUUAAGAGAUUUCAACCAUUCCCAAGGUAACACUAAUCAAAAUUUUAAACCUUUUUUGAUCCAUCUGUAGUUGCGCAACUCAUAUUCUUUAAAGUUACUCUAUCAAGGAGAUUCUUAUCUGCCCAAUGCCCAUGUCCCCACAGAAGUUUAGUGUUUUGGAAACUUGAAUCACUGCAUUUUGAGAUAAAGUAGUCCUGAUCGAUAAUUGUAAAUUGUAAUCUUUGUUUAUGACUGGUAGAGUCAAAGCAUGAAGAAACCAGUCACUUAAUGAAAUUCCUUGUUGAGGUGACUUGAGGAAGGACGUUAAUGUAAUGGUGGCAAGUAUACCAUCAUUUAUGCUCUAUUUGGCUAAUCAAAACCAGAGACUGCUAAAAAAAUCUCAUUCCGAAGCCAAGUGACACUUCUUGUCAAGCCCAGGUUGCUGUUCCUGUCACCCGUGUAAAUGCAUGCAUUAUUGUAGACUCAUCUUUUGAUAGAAUGUGCAGAUUACACCAUAAAUUUGUGCAAGCAAAUGCUAAUUUAUUCUACUUGGUCUUUGGAUAUUUAUUUCACAAGGAUGCUUUCUUCUCUGUCAAUUCUAUGCCAGUUGUUUUACUUUCCCUUUUCUUAUUUUUACCUUUUGAUCUUUCAAGAUUAAUUUUGUUUUGUGUACAAAGUUACUUGCUGGAUAUGAAGCAUGAGUACUUUAAAAAUAUUUCUGUAUGAAUACCGGCCGGUACUGUUACACGUACUCCAACUGUGCCUUUGCCCUUUUUUUUUUAAAGAAUUUGCCAUAUCGGUGUACCCACACCUGUAACUGCAACCGUGCUUCCUAGCCUGCUGGUCAUUUGAUCUUUAAACUGUUAUGGGUUUAGAAUCGUGGUAGACAUUUCAUCCAAUAGGAUGCUCAAAUCUAUAGGCAGAAUACAAUAUUUGGUCAAACGUUUUUUACUUCUCAUUCUUUAUUAAUUUUUUAUUGUUGAAUUUUGUUCUGUUCAUUUAGGAUGGAAGAUGUUUAUUGUGAUAUUGUUGGCUGUGCAGAUCAAAGCCAAAAAAACAUAUGAUACUGUGGAAGUUUCUUCUGUUCAGAAGGUACAAAUGCACAAAGCAGAAAACUCUAUGAUUGUAGUAGAUGGCACAUCACAACAACAGAUUGAGGAUUUUGAUGACUUAAUUGACGAAGAUACUUUGUUUACAGCUGAAGAUUCAAAAAUGUUUUGAGUUACCGCAAGAUGAAAGUUAUCUUGUUCGGGAAUGAAUACGUGAAAGAAAUCGUCUCUAUCAGCGUAGACGCCGAGCACGAAUGACAGAAGACCAAAAGAACCGUGAAAAGGAGAAGAGAAGGCAGUAUAUGAAGAGUCGCAGAGUUCAGCCUAUAAGUUAUGAAAUGCCCCUUUCUACACCAGUUAGUUACCAAAGUGCAAAAGAAAGUGAACAAAGGCUACAUUCUGGCUAGCAACUUCAAGAAUCUCACAUCAUCGAAAUAUAAAACAAAAACAAAAAAACACGGCGUGGGAGGCAGGUGAAGCUUCGUAGUUGAGUGAAUAUAAGGAAGUACGAGUGCUGGUAACAGCUAAGUCACUUCUAUCCAAUUAUCAACUUUGCUUCUGGCUUCUUAACACGUGGACAAAUACAAAGUGAAUAUAGUUCUGGCAACAGAAAAUAGUUAACCUCAUAUCACUUGUACAAUUUAGCAUAGAUAAGGGAGUUAUUCAAGAUUGAUCUGGGGUCUCUAACGGCCCCUAUGUAUACAGAACGAUAUAUAUAUAUUAUUGAGAACUGAUAGAUGUGUAAACACCUGUGCCCGUCAAUGUUUUUAGCAGUGUGAUUGUACUAUUUAUUGCUCUGUCAUCUUGAUUUUAAGUUGCUAACAA